RNA transcript from Helianthus annuus (common sunflower), 1784 nucleotides. RefSeq lists it as uncharacterized. The record is from RefSeq and is a predicted model, not a curated record. The transcript has 5 exons. NCBI's taxonomy places the organism in Eukaryota, Viridiplantae, Streptophyta, Magnoliopsida, Asterales, Asteraceae.
AAUUCCAUUUAUACUUAGUUUCUUUCUAAUUUUAUAAAAUAAUUUUGCCCUUCUAGGUAUCCCACAUCUUCUUAACCUAAUAAAAGCCAUACCUAUGAGACACAUGUCCCCCUUCUAAGCCUCAAAAUCUCAUUUUCCCGUCAUUUCUCUAUUCUCUUAUUUCCCUGAUGUGAACCCGAACGCGGGAUCCGUAUACCUAAUUCGGGUCAUAUCGUUCAUUCCAUACAUAAAGCAAAUAGGGUUUCAUCUUCUUCAACACACUUUCGCAACCUAGGGUUUCUCUUCUCCUCCACUCGAGUUCGUCUUCUUCACGGCAAGGUUCUUCCAUCAACAGGUUUGAUUUGUAUGUUUAUAUCAAUAAUCUGUGUUGAUUUCUUCUUAUUUUCAUAGAAAGUUUCUAAUUAAACCCUAAUUUCUUUUGUCUUCUUCCACGCACAGGUACAAUUAUAUCUCUAAUCGAACUAUCAUUCUUGAUUUUUAUCUUUGUAUUCUUCUCGAUUCCUUCCUUUUUGUUUACUCUAUUUCAGAUUUUGAUUUGUUAUCCAACCUAGGGUAUUCGAUGAAGUCCCAAUGAUUGAAUCUAUUGGUUUUUUCUCAGGUAUGAUAAUCUCAUCUAUUUCUGCUAACUGUUUACAUAUGUAUCUAAUUGUUGAUCGGUCUAUGAUUAGGUAUUCCUGUUUUAAUUUCAAUUACCUUCUUUAGCUACGUCGAAUUUCAGUUUUCUGUAGUCAAAUCAGGAGAAAUUGCUUCAGAUCUAGGUCUCCAGGAGCCUGUAGGAUCUUCGAUUUUAAGUUGCGAUUUGAUUUGACGGUUUCCAAUAUGCCUGGAUCUUCUUCAUUAAGAGAACCCUGUUUCUGUAGGCAUAUGAAUAAAGCAGACGAGAUUAUUCUGGUAAUUUAUAUUUCAUGUUUUUUUGUUGUUAUAAUUAAAUUGAAUUUAUUAUAAUAUUUUUUUAUAAUUUUUUCUCUAAUUAUAUUUCAUGUUCCAUUGUUUGGUUUGUUAGUCUAUUCCUUCUGAUGCUACUUGCAAGCUGUGGGGUGUGGAUAAAGGCCCUACAAAUGUUAUGAUACAUACUGAUGAUGGCCGGAUUUUUAAUGUUUGGUUAAGCGAAUCUAAAGGAAAUUUGUUCUUUUUCCAAGGAUGGUCCAAUGUAACCCAACAUUUGGGACUAUCCGAAGGAUGUUUGGUAAUAUUCAAUCCCCUGGAUUGUACUACGUUUAAAUUAACAUAUUUCAUUGAUGGUGUUAGUGGUAGCUCUUUUUGGACAAAUCUGCUACGUACAUCAUCUCGUUUUUGUGUCAUUCCUUAAGUUAUCCUGUCGAAAACCUUUACUACAUCCAUUGAUGUAAUAUCCACUAUAAUGAUAGACAACAAAACGUUUCACGUUAGGAUUGAAACGGCUGACGGUAAAUUCGGUUUUACCGUUGGUAUUGACGUUAUUGUUAGUCUGUUACAGUUAGAGCCUGGUUGUCUUUUGUUAUUUACAAAAUAUUUUGGUAAUUAUUUUAAUUUAAAAGUUUUUGGAAAAAACGGUGUUGAAAAGAACUUUCUUGAUAUAGAUGUUGAUGUGGUAAGUAUACAUUUUGUUACUUAUAUAUAUUCUUUAUAUAUUUUUUUCAUCUAAUAAAUGUUCUAUUUAAUUUGCAGCCUUUAGUUGCACCUAUUGAUGCUGUGAAUGAAAUUUAUGAAGAACCACAUAGUCGUGUUCAUCGGUUUUCCCGUAUGGCUGGUACCGAUUUUAUGCUUCCCGAUCGUGUUUCUCAAAUGGCCAAACUUAAUCUUGG